GGCUGAGUAGCUCAGUGGAUUGAGAGCCAAGCCUAGAGGUGGGAGGUCCUAGGUUCGAAUCCAGCCUCAGCCA
This is a transfer RNA of Monodelphis domestica (gray short-tailed opossum), 73 nucleotides long. It matches the Rfam family "tRNA". Rfam says of the family: Transfer RNA (tRNA) molecules are approximately 80 nucleotides in length. Their secondary structure includes four short double-helical elements and three loops (D, anti-codon, and T loops). Further hydrogen bonds mediate the characteristic L-shaped molecular structure. tRNAs have two regions of fundamental functional importance: the anti-codon, which is responsible for specific mRNA codon recognition, and the 3' end, to which the tRNAs corresponding amino acid is attached (by aminoacyl-tRNA synthetases). tRNAs cope with the degeneracy of the genetic code in two manners: having more than one tRNA (with a specific anti-codon) for a particular amino acid; and 'wobble' base-pairing, i.e. permitting non-standard base-pairing at the 3rd anti-codon position. NCBI's taxonomy places the organism in Eukaryota, Metazoa, Chordata, Mammalia, Didelphimorphia, Didelphidae. The record is from Rfam.